Long non-coding RNA from Gallus gallus (chicken), 943 nucleotides. Lineage: Eukaryota; Metazoa; Chordata; Aves; Galliformes; Phasianidae. The record is from Ensembl.
AAAAAAUGGCUGCAAAACUGCUGCUGAGAGUGAGGAGCGAAAGAUGUGAGAGAACAGCCCUACAGGCACCAGUGUCAGCGCAGAAGGAGGGCAGGAGGAACUCCAGGCACAGCAGCAGCUUCCUGCAGCCCAGGAACGGCCCACAAAGGAGUAGGCUGUCCCUCUGCAGCCCCUGAGUACCUUGCGGAGCAGAUCUCCCCGUGAAGCUACGGAGGAGCCGGCGGGGCAGCCAUGAAUGAGGCCUGAAGGAGGCACAGCCCUGGGUACCCCCGCGGGAGCGGCCCGGGCCGGAGCUGCCGCCCGUGAGGACCGGUGUAGAGCAGUGCCUGAAAGGUGGGCACCGUGGUACGGAGCCCUGUUGGAGCAGUGCUGGGAGAGCUGCAGUCUGUGGGAAACCCACGCAGGAUCAGUUCAGGAAGGACGGCACGCUGUGGGAGGGAUCCACGUGGAGAGGAGGCAGAGAGAGACCAUGGAGGAGCAGCAGAGACCAAGUGUUACAGACUGACCACUGCCACAUUCCUCAUUACCCUGCGCCACUUGUAGGAAUGAGGUGGGGAUGUCUUUGCAGUGCCACACCUGCAGAGAAUGGGAGGGAGUGAAGGCACUCAGUGGCAUGUGAUACUUACCUAAUAAGACUAUGUGAAACACUAAAGUCUUGAAGAUUCAGGUCGGUACUCCAGAAGUGAAUUUUAUCUUUUAUCGUGCUUUCAUAUAAUUAGAAAAUUUCUGCUGCCUUCUCAUAACCUACAGGACAAGACAGAAUCUAAGUCUUCAGUGAUUUCUGUAUUUGUCAGCCAGAAGAAAACUCUUGUAAGAGUACUACCAUAAUAACAGCACUGAGACUCACAUGACUAUAAAGAAGGCAGGAUCCAGUUCAAGUUUGGAACAUCCCACAAUGUCCAAAGGUGGAUUUGGCGAUAUAGUAGUAGAGGCUGAAUCUUCC